Molecule: ribosomal RNA, 204 nt
Filed under: Ctenophora environmental sample
Lineage: Eukaryota; Metazoa; Ctenophora
Description: partial Bacterial large subunit ribosomal RNA
Rfam family: Bacterial large subunit ribosomal RNA
Source: RNAcentral
GAAAAGAAAUCAACCGAGAUUCCCAUAGUAGUGACGAGCGAACUGGGAACAGACCAGUAAUAUUUAAGUAAUAACUAAAACUAGAUUGAAUACUAGGCCAUAGAAGGUGAAAGCCCUGUAUGGGUAAAAAGCUUUUAUAUUCUUGAGUAGGGCGGGACACGUGAAAUCCUGUCUGAACAUGGGGGGACCACCCUCCAAGCCUAA